RNAcentral lists this transfer-messenger RNA (358 nucleotides) under Patescibacteria group. Its description in RNAcentral is "f UBA8517 X12 Standard tmRNA". It matches the Rfam family "transfer-messenger RNA". Rfam says of the family: Bacterial tmRNA, also known as 10Sa RNA or SsrA, is named for its dual tRNA and mRNA-like properties. Its role is to liberate the mRNA from a stalled ribosome. RNAcentral also lists the same sequence under 2 other names. The record is from RNAcentral.
GGGGACGAAUUAGGAUUCGACGGAAAGUUCUUUGAAUAAUCGGCAAGCAAGGUUGAUCUUCCUUUAAAAAGAUCAAAAUUUACACGGCGAAGAUGAAUCUUACGCCCCAAAUUACGCGUUUGCGUAAAUUGGUGUUCACCAACUUAUUUCCCGUCUUUAGUUGGAUGGGCAUAAACCAGUACGGGACGCCUUUGUUUGGUGUCUGAUUGAUCACAAACAAAGUAAGCUAAAAUCAAUCUUACUCAAAAUUGUUUGCCAGUUUGAAAGAUUUUGAGGAAAACCUUAAACUGGAUAAGCUUGUAGAUGUUAUUUGUUAAGUAUUUUUCGGACGAGGGUUCAAAUCCCUCCGUCUCCACUC